RNAcentral lists this ribosomal RNA (440 nucleotides) under uncultured bacterium. RNAcentral describes it as "bacterial SSU rRNA". It matches the Rfam family "Bacterial small subunit ribosomal RNA", at positions 338 to 795 of the family's 1533-position model. The record is from RNAcentral.
CCUACGGGAGGCAGCAGUGGGGAAUCUUGCACAAUGGGGGAAACCCUGAUGCAGCGACGCCGCGUGGGUGAUGAAGUCCUUCGGGAUGUAAAGCCCUUUCGACAGGAACGAUAAUGACGGUACCUGGAGAAGAAGCUGCGGCUAACUACGUGCCAGCAGCCGCGGUAAUACGUAGGCAGCGAGCGUUGUUCGGAGUUACUGGGCGUAAAGAGUAUGUAGGCGGUUGGGCAAGUUUGGUGUGAAAUCUCCCGGCUUAACUGGGAGGGUGCGCUAAAUACUGCCUGGCUAGAGUGCGGGAGAGGGGAGCGGAAUUCCUGGUGUAGCGGUGAAAUGCGUAGAUAUCAGGAGGAACACCUGCGGUGUAGACGGCUCCCUGGACCGUGACUGACGCUGAGAUACGAAAGCGUGGGUAGCAAACAGGAUUAGAUACCCCGGUAGUC